Molecule: ribosomal RNA, 473 nt
Filed under: uncultured bacterium
Lineage: Bacteria
Description: bacterial SSU rRNA
Rfam family: Bacterial small subunit ribosomal RNA
Source: RNAcentral
CUCUGUGACUCCUACGGGAGGCAGCAGUGGGGAAUAUUGCACAAUGGGGGAAACCCUGAUGCAGCCAUGCCGCGUGUGUGAAGAAGGCCUUCGGGUUGUAAAGCACUUUCAGUAGGGAGGAAGGUAGUGUAGUUAACACCUGCAUUAUUUGACGUUACCUACAGAAGAAGCACCGGCUAACUCCGUGCCAGCAGCCGCGGUAAUACGGAGGGUGCGAGCGUUAAUCGGAAUUACUGGGCGUAAAGCGCAUGCAGGCGGCCUGUUAAGUCAGAUGUGAAAGCCCCGGGGCUUAACCUCGGAAUUGCAUUUGAAACUGGCAGGCUAGAGUCUUGUAGAGGGGGUAGAAUUUCAGGUGUAGCGGUGAAAUGCGUAGAGAUCUGAAGGAAUACCAGUGGCGAAGGCGGCCCCCUGGACAAAGACUGACGCUCAGAUGCGAAAGCGUGGGGAGCAAACAGGAUUAGAUACCCUGGUGG